Molecule: ribosomal RNA, 434 nt
Filed under: uncultured Lachnospiraceae bacterium
Lineage: Bacteria; Bacillati; Bacillota; Clostridia; Lachnospirales; Lachnospiraceae
Description: partial 16S ribosomal RNA
Rfam family: Bacterial small subunit ribosomal RNA
Source: RNAcentral
ACGGGAGGCAGCAGUGGGGGAUAUUGCACAAUGGGGGAAACCCUGAUGCAGCGACGCCGCGUGAGUGAAGAAGUAUUUCGGUAUGUAAAGCUCUAUCAGCAGGAAAGAUAAUGACGGUACCUGACUAAGAAGCACCGGCUAAAUACGUGCCAGCAGCCGCGGUAAUACGUAUGGUGCAAGCGUUAUCCGGAUUUACUGGGUGUAAAGGGCGCGUAGGCGGGAAAGCAAGUCAGAUGUGAAAUCCAUGGGCUCAACUCAUGAACUGCAUUUGAAACUGUUUUUCUUGAGUGUCGGAGAGGUAGAUGGAAUUCCUAGUGUAGCGGUGAAAUGCGUAGAUAUUAGGAAGAACACCAGUGGCGAAGGCGAUCUACUGGACGAUAACUGACGCUGAGGCGCGAAAGCGUGGGGAGCAAACAGGAUUAGAUACCCUGGUA